AGCACCAUGCUUUCCUGCAACAUUUUUCACCAUCACUGCAGUUUCCUGUCGCAUUCUCCGCACAUCCCAGCAUCCUUGCCUAAUGAUGUGUCUUAAUAGGAUCUAGGCGACUUCAUGUGGAAUAUGAUAAGUCACUGUUUUGAUGGAUACCGACAGUUUAGAGUGAGGAGUUGGUUUUUAAGAAAGAGAAACCCCCACAUUUGAGACUUGACUUCACAACCACAAAAGAAAAUUUUUUAUGGAUAGUUGUCUAAUUAUCUACCUAGGAAACCUUAAUGAGUGUUGCUCCUAUUGCAAUUGGCUGCUCCUUUGUAAUUUUGUCUGUCAUGCCAAAUGGCUGAUCUCUAUAUGAUGCGUGUUCUCUAUGCAGGCAGUAUCCAUGGGCUUUCAAGU
RNAcentral lists this unclassified non-coding RNA (393 nucleotides) under Hevea brasiliensis (rubber tree). Lineage: Eukaryota; Viridiplantae; Streptophyta; Magnoliopsida; Malpighiales; Euphorbiaceae. The record is from RNAcentral.